GAUCAUGGCUCAGGAUGAACGCUAGCUACAGGCUUAACACAUGCAAGUCGAGGGGCAGCAUGACGAUAGCUUGCUAUUGUCGAUGGCGACCGGCGCGCGGGUGAGUAACGCGUAUCCAAUCUUCCCGUUGCUAGGGGAUAACCUUGCGAAAGUAAGACUAAUACCCUAUGAAGUUCUUCGCAGGCAUCUAAAGAGAACGAAAGAUUUAUCGGCAACGGAUGGGGAUGCGU
Molecule: ribosomal RNA, 230 nt
Filed under: uncultured bacterium
Lineage: Bacteria
Description: partial 16S ribosomal RNA
Rfam family: Bacterial small subunit ribosomal RNA
Source: RNAcentral